This 307-nucleotide unclassified non-coding RNA is filed under the name Hevea brasiliensis (rubber tree). Lineage: Eukaryota; Viridiplantae; Streptophyta; Magnoliopsida; Malpighiales; Euphorbiaceae. The record is from RNAcentral.
AUUCCAAUAGACUUGAAUCUCAGCAACCAAACCAAUUUGCUUACUACCAACUUAUCAGUUUGUGGAUCUUUCAAAUCCAAUACUAAAUUCACAAAAUUUUCAAAAUGGGUAAUGAACCAUUUCAACGUUCUUCUGCAUAUAGUAGAGCUAGAAGACUCAUUAGCCCCAAAGCUUCAAUCUUUUUCAGAAAUCAAGAAUGGGGUUUUGCACCCUUUAUCUUAAUGUGGAUGGACAAAAAAAAAUUCAAACAAAUGUAAGCAUAAAAAUGUAAAAAUGGGUAAUUGAGGCUAUUCUUGAAAAGCCAAAG